AACGUAGGGGGCUAGCGUUGUUCGGAAUUACUGGGCGUAAAGCGCGUGUAGGCGGUUUGGUAAGUCAGAAGUGAAAUCCCUCGGCUCAACCGAGGAACUGCUUUUGAAACUGCCGAACUUGAGUAUGGGCGGGGAGAGCGGAAUUCCCGGUGUAGCGGUGAAAUGCGUAGAUAUCGGGAAGAACACCAGUGGCGAAGGCGGCUCUCUGGACCAUCACUGACGCUGAGACGCGAAAGCGUGGGUAGCAAACAGG
This 253-nucleotide ribosomal RNA is filed under the name uncultured bacterium. Its description in RNAcentral is "partial 16S ribosomal RNA". It matches the Rfam family "Bacterial small subunit ribosomal RNA", at positions 524 to 776 of the family's 1533-position model. The record is from RNAcentral.